UACAGAGGUCUCAAGCGUUGUUCGGAUUCAUUGGGCGUAAAGGGUGUGUAGGUGGCGCCGUAAGUCGGGUGUGAAAUUUCGGAGCUUAACUCCGAAACUGCAUUCGAUACUGCCUUGCUCGAGGACUGGAGAGGAGAUUGGAAUUCACGGUGUAGCAGUGAAAUGCGUAGAUAUCGUGAGGAAGACCAGUGGCGAAGGCGGAUCUCUGGACAGUUCCUGACGCUGAGGCACGAAGGCCAGGGGAGCAAACGGG
This 253-nucleotide ribosomal RNA is filed under the name uncultured bacterium. RNAcentral's name for it is "partial 16S ribosomal RNA". It matches the Rfam family "Bacterial small subunit ribosomal RNA", at positions 524 to 776 of the family's 1533-position model. The record is from RNAcentral.